This 363-nucleotide transfer-messenger RNA is filed under the name Bifidobacterium catenulatum subsp. kashiwanohense. It matches the Rfam family "transfer-messenger RNA". From Rfam's summary of the family: Bacterial tmRNA, also known as 10Sa RNA or SsrA, is named for its dual tRNA and mRNA-like properties. Its role is to liberate the mRNA from a stalled ribosome. To accomplish this part of the tmRNA is used as a reading frame that ends in a translation stop signal. The record is from RNAcentral. Lineage: Bacteria; Bacillati; Actinomycetota; Actinomycetes; Bifidobacteriales; Bifidobacteriaceae.
GGGGCCGACAGGUUUCGAUUUGAAAAUCGAGAUAAUGCAAGCAUGCCGGGAGCUGACUUGGACAACCGUUAUCAAUCCAUGUCACCAAACAAACGCCAAGACUGAUUCUUCGCGCAACUUCCAGCUCGCCGCCUGAAAACGGUUUGCCGGGAAGCGGAUUCGCUGGAUUGCUGUAACGCGAUUCCGGAAAAAGGACAGCAAAAAACUCGAUGAACGGCAACUGUUCACCGUUUCAGAAUUAGUUGCAGAACUGUUCCAACGCGCCCUAUCGACAGGAACUUUUACAUGAAAAUAGGGAUAAACAUGUAGAAAACAUCAUCAACGUUUUCAAAGACGAGGGUUCAAUUCCCUCCGGCUCCACGA